Molecule: ribosomal RNA, 249 nt
Filed under: Tylopilus sp.
Lineage: Eukaryota; Fungi; Basidiomycota; Agaricomycetes; Boletales; Boletaceae
Description: partial 28S ribosomal RNA
Rfam family: Eukaryotic large subunit ribosomal RNA
Source: RNAcentral
ACAGCUCAAAUUUUGAAUCUGGCGGUCCAUGUGGCCGUCCGAGUUGUAAUCUAGAGAAGCGUUUUCCAGCGCUGGUCCGUGUACAAGUCUCCUGGAAGGGAGCAUCAUAGAGGGUGAGAAUCCCGUCUUUGACAUGGCCGCCAGUGCAUCGUGAUGCGCUCUCGACGAGUCGAGUUGUUUGGGAAUGCAGCUCAAAACGGGUGGUAAAUUCCAUCUAAAGCUAAAUACAGGCGAGAGACCGAUAGCGAA